This 1604-nucleotide ribosomal RNA is filed under the name uncultured bacterium. RNAcentral describes it as "bacterial SSU rRNA". It matches the Rfam family "Bacterial small subunit ribosomal RNA". The record is from RNAcentral.
AGAGUUUGAUCCUGGCUCAGAUCGAACGCUAGCGGCAUGCCUAACACAUGCAAGUCGAACGGUAACAGGACUAGCUUGCUAGUCGCUGACGAGUGGCGGACGGGUGAGUAAUACGUAGGAAUCUACCUUGUAGUGGGGGAUAACUCGGGGAAACUCGAGCUAAUACCGCAUACUCCCCGCAUCUAUCUUUAUGGUUUGUGAAGUCUGAAAUUGAGCCAGAAGACUGAGCAAAUCAUAAAGAUGGGUGUGGGGCAAAGCGGGGGACUUCGCAUUUAAAUUAUUUAUAUCAAGUGAUUUAAAUGCGAGGCCUCGUGCUAAAAGAUGAGCCUGCGUCGGAUUAGCUUGUUGGUGGGGUAAAGGCCUACCAAGGCGACGAUCCGUAGCUGGUCUGAGAGGAUGAUCAGCCACAUUGGGACUGAGAUACGGCCCAGACUCCUACGGGAGGCAGCAGUGGGGAAUAUUGGACAAUGGGCGCAAGCCUGAUCCAGCAAUGCCGCGUGUGUGAAGAAGGCCUUCGGGUUGUAAAGCACUUUCAGUGGGGAAGAAGGGUUCAAAGUUAAUAACUUUGAGCAUUGACAUUACCCACAGAAGAAGCACUGGCUAACUCUGUGCCAGCAGCCGCGGUAAUACAGAGAGUGCAAGCGUUAAUCGGAAUUAUUGGGCGUAAAGCGCGCGUAGGCGGAUGCUCCAGUUGGGUGUGAAAUCCCCGGGCUUAACCUGCGAAUUGCAUUCAAUACUAGGCAUCUAGAGUAUGGUAGAGGGAAGUGGAAUUUCCGGUGUAGCGGUGAAAUGCGUAGAUAUCGGAAGGAACACCAGUGGCGAAGGCGGCUUCCUGGACCAAUACUGACGCUGAGGUGCGAAAGCGUGGGGAGCAAACAGGAUUAGAGACCCUGGUAGUCCACGCCGUUAACGAUGAGAACUAGACGUUGGAGGGGUUGCCCUUUAGUGUCGUAGCUAACGCGUUAAGUUCUCCGCCUGGGGAGUACGACCGCAAGGUUAAAACUCAAAGGAAUUGACGGGGGCCCGCACAAGCGGUGGAUCAUGUGGUUUAAUUCGAUGCAACGCGAAGAACCUUACCUACUCUUGACAUCCUAGGAAGUCUCUAGAGAUAGAGAUGUGCCUUCGGGAACCUAGUGACAGGUGCUGCAUGGCUGUCGUCAGCUCGUGUCGUGAGAUGUUGGGUUAAGUCCCGUAACGAGCGCAACCCUUGCCCUUAGUUGCCAGCACGUAAUGGUGGGAACUCUAAGGGGACUGCCGGUGAUAAAUCGGAGGAAGGUGGGGACGAGGUCAAGUCAUCAUGGCCCUUACGAGUAGGGCUACACACGUGAUACAAUGGACAGUACAAAGGGUUGCUAAGCCGCGAGGUGGAGCUAAUCCCAAAAAGCUGUUCUUAGUCCGGAUUGAAGUCUGCAACUCGACUUCAUGAAGUUGGAAUCGCUAGUAAUCGUGAAUCAGAAUGUCGCGGUGAAUACGUUCUCGGGCCUUGUACACACCGCCCGUCACACCAUGGGAGUGGGUUGUACCAGAAGCGGGUAGGCUAACCUUCGGGGGGCCGCUCACCACGGUAUGAUUCAUGACUGGGGUGAAGUCGUAACAAGGUAACC